Molecule: long non-coding RNA, 2873 nt
Organism: Anguilla anguilla (European eel)
Lineage: Eukaryota; Metazoa; Chordata; Actinopteri; Anguilliformes; Anguillidae
Exons: 3
Source: RefSeq, a predicted model, not a curated record
UCUGCAGGCUGUGAGUUGAACUGCUCUGGGCAAAGCUUGCUUUCCCCAGCAUGAAAAGUGCAUCACUCAUACGUUUCAAAUUGCAGUUAAAGAUGGCCUGAAAUCAACCGAUUACCCAUCAACAAAGCUAUCCCUAAAGCAUCAAACAUCGUUUCUCAGUAGGCUACUGUAAAUCUUCUUUAGCACAGGAUCUGGCAGAAUCAUCUUCAGCCAGCAAGUCUGACGUGGUGAAAAUGCUUUGUUCUGUUCUCAGUGCUGAUGAUGAGAAGCUGGAUGAGUGGCCCAUCACAAAGCUUUCCACCUCGGAAAAAUUUUUCCUCCCACACCGGAAGACAUGCAGUUGAGAUUGGCAUACUCCUGCCAUUGCCCUUGACCAAGGCACUGGCCUCCGAACUGGAGUUGGUCCCCGGGCACUGCACUGUGGCUUCCCACUGUUCUUACGUAACUUGGAUGGGUCAAAUGCAGAGGAAAAAUGACCCCACGGGGAAUAUCUCCCAAACAGACUAUCUCUGCUGGACCUCUCCCAUCCCUGGGUGAUGCUACAGCUAACUUUGCAUUGCCUGGCAGGGCUGUGAGAUUUGAUACCAUACCAUGAAAUCUGUCCAUGCAUUGAAAAUGUAUUUUGCAAAUCUUCAACAUAUGACAAUAUCAUCAAGGAGUGUCACCUGAAAAAAAUCAUCACAGAAAUAAAGACAUUUGGUGAGCCUGCUAGGGUUUCUAAAGGUUGACUGAUGAUAGUUUAAAUGAAAGACAAGAACUUUAUUUUUGUUGUUGCAUUUCUGUCAUAUUGAUGACAAGACCUUAUCAAAAUAUUUUCAUCUCACCCCUCUUACGUUUACAGAUGACUGUUUUGUGUUGACGCAGUAAUUAUGUAAGGAUUAAUUCAGUGUGCUUGCAUCCCAGAUUAAUUAAAUUUGCUGCAUGUUUUAUGCCCCCUCCCUCCAUUAUUUCUGAAUUAUAAUAUUAGGCGAAACACUGUCUUAACUUCUUUUGGCUCCUGUCUGCACAUUUUUAAUGAACUGGCAAUGUCGCAUUUUCACAGAGCACUGUGCAUUAAUUAGUUUCAUUGGUUGUGAGAUUUGCAUGGCAUGACUAUUUUGUGAACCCUUUCUCUGCAGUUGCAGUUGACUUUGUUUUGCUGAUAGUGACAUUUGGAGUAUCUAUUUGUAUUAUACAUGUCUGACUGACUCUGAAUUCAAUAAUGCAAUAAUGAAGGGGUGGAUUCACCAGCUUGGAGUGGUUAUUUGUCACAAUAAUUCUUAAGUAUCUAAAAUUGGCUUGGCGAAAAUGCUACAUUAAAAUAGAACAGUAACAAUUAAUUCCCAAUAAUAUGUUGAUGGAAUGACUACGAAUUGAACAUGCACUGUACCGUAGUUUAAUUAUGAGCUGUCCAGUCUGUAAGUUGUGAUAAUUUUAUAGCAUUGCCACGAUAAAUGUGAAUUUGUGAAUCAGCUGACAUGUUGAUAUAUUUGAUGAUAUAUUUAUUCUAAAGCCUUGCAUUUCACAUUCUAAAGCAGUGGGAUUUCACACGUUGAUUUUGAUUUUAAAUACACUCGGAAAUAUAGGUCAUAAAAUGAAUUAUCUUGGUGUGUUUGUGUGGGCGAAUUUGUCAUUGAGAGAAAUUAUAUAACGACUUAUGAAAUGGCACAUAGAAAUGGACAGAUUUUAGCAUAAGAAAAAUUGCGGCCUUGAAUAUGCAACUUGAUGCCUCUCUUCAGAACACAGCCUGGACUGUAUGCAUAUUAGUAGUAUUUUUAAAAAUGUAUUUUAAAAACCAUUUUUACCCAGAUGAGUUCCACUGAGAUUAAAACAUAUAGUUAGAAGGUAGCAGCAUGUACGAGUAACAUUAUUAAAGCACGUAAAUUAACAGAACAGAUUACCUUACACUAAACUGUUCUGUGCAUGAGAAGCAUCAGACACAGUGCAAAUCGAACAUAUGUAUAUACAGUAUAUAUUUUUAAUGAAUACAUCUAUCACAAUAUAAAAACCAAUCCUGUGGCACACUUACAGUAUGUUCCUUCCCAGUUUCAAUGGUGAAAAGGGAAGAAUGGUAAAUGGACUGCAUUCAUAUUGUGCAUUUUCCAUCAACAACUGCACAAACCGCUUUACAAUGAAUGCCUCACAUUCACACACACCAAUAGGGAGCAAGACAGUCAUGCAGAGCUCAAGCCAGCUCAAUGGGGGGUUGGGUGUCUUGCUUAAAGACACUUCAACCCACUCAGAGGACCGGGGAUCGAGCCGACAACCUUCCAGUUGCCAGACGACUGCUCUACCUCCUGAGCUGCUCAAUCUGUGGACAUCUCUCACAGCACAUUAAUUCACAUUCACUGUAUCUGCAGAAAGAACUUCUUGCAAUAAGAUGCAUUAUACAACAAAAAACUCUGCUACCUGUUGCCCUGUAAGCUAUCAUAUGACAGUAAGCCUGACUUUUUACUUUUUUGCCAUAGCAUGUCUCAUUGAAGUGAAUAUCUAGGUUCAGUUGAAACAUUUUUAAAAAUCUGAGUCAGAAUAUGUGCUGUGAUUUUGUUGAUAUUUCAGACACACUGGGAUUCUUUUGAAAGCAUACUCUUGCCAUCAAUAGUUGAAACUGUUAAAAUAAAACAUAGAAUAUGUUUUUGAAGUGGGUGGCUACCUUAAAAUUUGCAAGGAUUAAAGUCCUACUAUUAUGGCGGCCCCUUGGUCCAUGCUCACUGCAGCCAUUGUGAAAGUCCUGUUUGCUGACAGAUUGGUUCUGCUGGGUCUGAGGCUGUGAUCCUGGUGCUGUGGAUAAAUUGUUUGCCAAUAAAAGAACUGGAAAGCUGUGGGUCUGUAUUGAUCUCAUUCGGUAUACCAAUGUCUCAAUGUGUCCUACCUGGGCUGUGUUUAAACCACUG